UGAAAAGGCUUCCCUGGUGCAAUCAUUUUUAAACUAAUCCUUGGAAGAGUUGUUCUAUGGUUUGAGGAAGUACUUUAUAAUGCCGUUGUUGGAAUCAUCUUUAUCUUCUGUUAUUUCAAUCCAGUAGAUUCUCCAACUCGACACAGAUAUUUCAUUUACUAUUCUGUUAUGAUUACAGAAAAUAGCAUUCUCAUGUUAAUAUGGAAUUUCUACGGCAAUAAUUUUCUGAACUAUCGACUGCCAAUUUUUGUGGUACAUUAUGCAUUAUUUUUAUUGGGAUUUGCAUUUAUGAUUACUUACUAUUUACGUUUUCAUCCAACGAAAAAUAUAAAAGUGUUUUUAAACAGGACAGAGAUGAUUAACGGACCGUCCGCAGAUCACAAUUUAGUCAACAAAGAACGGUACGUAGUCAGAUUAUAAGAAGAAUCUAGCGAUUUACAGUAGUAGUACUCAACAAAGUCGAUGACUACUACUAGUGUAGAAAAACUGCAAAACUCAUCAUGACUGUUUUUUUAAAUGCAACUUCGCAUCUUUCAGAAGUUUUUAUAUCUAUGAAAUUGUUGAUAUUAUUGUUACUACUAUACAGAAAAGAAUAUUUUUAUUUAAAGUCGACCAAAAAAUGCAGUGUGAUGUAAACACUGAAUAAUUAUAUUUAUGAUAGAUUACACAAUUUGUAUUGGAUUCGACACUCAAUUAGCAAUCAGCUAAUAAAUGUUUGUAUUUAUACGAAA
Long non-coding RNA from Centruroides sculpturatus (bark scorpion), 731 nucleotides. RefSeq lists it as uncharacterized. The record is from RefSeq and is a predicted model, not a curated record. NCBI's taxonomy places the organism in Eukaryota, Metazoa, Arthropoda, Arachnida, Scorpiones, Buthidae. The transcript has 3 exons.